RNAcentral lists this ribosomal RNA (267 nucleotides) under uncultured bacterium. Its description in RNAcentral is "partial 16S ribosomal RNA". It matches the Rfam family "Bacterial small subunit ribosomal RNA", at positions 793 to 1055 of the family's 1533-position model. The record is from RNAcentral.
GUCCACGCUGUAAACGAUGAGAACUAGGUGUUGCGGGUAUUGACCCCUGCAGUGCCGUAGCUAACGCAUUAAGUUCUCCGCCUGGGAAGUACGGUCGCAAGACUAAAACUCAAAGGAAUUGACGGGGGCCCCGCACAAGCGGUGGAGCAUGUGGUUUAAUUCGACGCAACGCGCAGAACCUUACCUGGUCUUGACAUCUACGGAACCUUCGUGAAAGCGAGGGGUGCCUUUCGGGGAGCCGUAAGACAGGUGCUGCAUGGCUGUCGU